CCUACGGGUGGCAGCAGUGGGGAAUAUUGCACAAUGGGGGAAACCCUGAUGCAGCGACGCCGCGUGAAGGAAGAAGUAUUUCGGUAUGUAAACUUCUAUCAGCAGGGAAGAAAAUGACGGUACCUGACUAAGAAGCCCCGGCUAACUACGUGCCAGCAGCCGCGGUAAUACGUAGGGGGCAAGCGUUAUCCGGAUUUACUGGGUGUAAAGGGAGCGUAGGCGGUGCAGCAAGUCAGAAGUGAAAGCCCGGGGCUUAACUCCGGGACUGCUUUUGAAACUGCGUGGCUGGAGUGCAGGAGGGGCAGGCGGAAUUCCUGGUGUAGCGGUGAAAUGCGUAGAUAUCAGGAGGAACACCGGUGGCGAAGGCGGCCUGCUGGACUGCAACUGACGUUGAGGCCCGAAAGCGUGGGGAGCAAACAGGAUUAGAUACCCGGGUAGUC
Molecule: ribosomal RNA, 440 nt
Filed under: uncultured bacterium
Lineage: Bacteria
Description: partial 16S ribosomal RNA
Rfam family: Bacterial small subunit ribosomal RNA
Source: RNAcentral